UGUACGUGUAGCUCAGCUGGAUAGAGCGUCUGGCUACGGACCAGAAGGUCGUGGGUUCGAAUCCUGUCACGUACAUC
Molecule: transfer RNA, 77 nt
Filed under: Waltera intestinalis
Lineage: Bacteria; Bacillati; Bacillota; Clostridia; Lachnospirales; Lachnospiraceae
Also listed under: 2 other names
Description: tRNA-Arg
Rfam family: tRNA
About the family: Transfer RNA (tRNA) molecules are approximately 80 nucleotides in length. Their secondary structure includes four short double-helical elements and three loops (D, anti-codon, and T loops).
Source: RNAcentral